Molecule: ribosomal RNA, 253 nt
Filed under: uncultured bacterium
Lineage: Bacteria
Description: partial 16S ribosomal RNA
Rfam family: Bacterial small subunit ribosomal RNA
Source: RNAcentral
UACGUAGGUCGCAAGCGUUGUCCGGAUUUACUGGGCGUGAAGAGCGCGCAGGCGGCUGGUCAAGUCCGAUGUGAAAUCUCCCGGCUCAACUGGGAAACUGCAUCGGAAACUGAUCGGCUUGAAGAUGGGAGAGGGUAGUGGAAUUCCCGGUGUAGUGGUGAAAUGCGUAGAUAUCGGGAGGAACACCAGUGGCGAAGGCGACUACCUGGCCCAUUCUUGACGCUGAGGCGCGAAAGCUAGGGGAGCGAACGGG